UGCGGACAAUUGGCUGCCCUU
RNAcentral lists this unclassified non-coding RNA (21 nucleotides) under Chlamydomonas reinhardtii. Its description in RNAcentral is "small RNA Cre_3109". The record is from RNAcentral. Lineage: Eukaryota; Viridiplantae; Chlorophyta; Chlorophyceae; Chlamydomonadales; Chlamydomonadaceae.